RNAcentral lists this ribosomal RNA (985 nucleotides) under Telimena sp. Its description in RNAcentral is "SSU rRNA". It matches the Rfam family "Eukaryotic small subunit ribosomal RNA", at positions 111 to 1106 of the family's 1831-position model. Lineage: Eukaryota; Fungi; Ascomycota; Sordariomycetes; Phyllachorales; Telimenaceae. The record is from RNAcentral.
UAUCGUUUAUUUGAUACUACCGUACUACUUGGAUAACCGUGGUAAUUCUAGAGCUAAUACAUGCAAAACUCCCCGACUCGCGAAGGGGUGUAUUUAUUAAAUUAAAAACCAAUGCCCUCCGGGGCUCCCUGGUGAUUCAUAAUAACUUUUCGGAUCGCAUGGCCUUGUGCCGGCGAUGGUUCAUUCAAAUUUCUGCCCUAUCAACUUUCGAUGGCUGGGUCUUGGCCAGCCAUGGGGGUAACGGGUAACGGAGGGUUAGGGCUUGACCCCGGAGAGGGAGCCUGAGAAACGGCUACCACAUCCAAGGAAGGCAGCAGGCGCGCAAAUUACCCAAUCCCGACACGGGGAGGUAGUGACAAUAAAUACUGAUGCAGGGCUCUUUUGGGUCUUGCAAUUGGAAUGAGUACAAUUUAAAUCCCUUAACGAGGAACAAUUGGAGGGCAAGUCUGGUGCCAGCAGCCGCGGUAAUUCCAGCUCCAAGGGCGUAUAUUAAAGUUGUUGAGGUUAAAAAGCUCGUAGUUGACCCUUGGACCUGGCUGGCCGGUCCGCCUCACCGCGUGCACUGGUCCGGCCGGGUCUUUCCCUCUGGGAAGCCACAUGCCCUUUACUGGGCGUGUUGGGGAACCAGGACGCUUACCGUGAAUAAAUUGGAUCGCUUAAAGAAGGCCUAUGCUUGAACAGUGCAGCAUGGAAUAAUGAAAUAGGACGUGUGGCUCUAUUUUGUUGGUUUCUAGGACCGCCGUAAUGAUUAAUAGGGACAGUCGGGGGCGUCCGUAUUCCAUUGUCAGAGGUGAAAUUCUUGGAUUUAUGGAAGACGAACUACUGCGAAAGCAUUCGCCAAGGAUGUUUUCAUUAAUCAGGAACGAAAGUUAGGGGAUCGAAGACGAUCAGAUACCGUCGUAGUCUUAACCAUAAACUAUGCCGAUUAGGGAUCGGACGGUGUUAUUUUUUGACCCGUUCGGCACCUUACGAAAAAUCAAAAUGU